CCCCCCCCCCCCCCAAAUGUUUUCAAAAAAAUAGCCGUUGUAAUGAGCUGUCCACAGCUGUUGCCUGCACAGUUCAAACUCUCGUUUUAUGUUAUACAUGUAUAAUGUGUUCUAUGGAUACGAUAGGAGGAGAUCAUUCUCAGUCAAAAACUCAUGUACAAAUAUUAUUGAUAAAUAAAAAUUUUCAAAUGAUAUAGAUCCAGAU
Biomphalaria pfeifferi is the source of this 205-nucleotide non-coding RNA. NCBI's taxonomy places the organism in Eukaryota, Metazoa, Mollusca, Gastropoda, Planorbidae. The record is from the annotation of a GenBank genome assembly.